GAAGGGGUAUAUGAAGUGACUGAGGGUAGUGGGGACUAUGUCCUACCAGGACAAAGCAGGACAACAGUGUGUGAGCUGGCCCUUUCAGGACAGAGUAGCACUACAGUGUGUGAGCAGGCCCAUGACAAUGAUGAUGAUAGUGAUGGUGGAGUGAGUGAUGACGAUGAUGAUGAUGAUGAUAAUGAUAAUGAUGAUCAUCAUCAUGACAGCGACGACACACAAAGUCAGUUAGCACAGUGGGCAGUUAGGAGAAGGAUCAGCCAUGCUGCGUUAGGGGAUCUACUAUCCAUUCUGUCUGGCAAAUUUCAUGGGUUGCCAAAAGACCCAAGAACAUUACUCAAAACAAAAACCACUCAUGAUGUUAAAAGUGUUUCAGGUGGUACUUACUCUCAUUUCGGUUUUAAUGACGCCAUUUCGUCUCAUCUUUCCAAAAACAACAAUCCUUUGCCUUUAACAAUACAAGUGAACAUUGAUGGCCUGCCCCUCUACAAAAGUUCAAAUGCCCAGUUCUGGCCAAUUUUAGGACUAAUUGAGUGUUUCAAAAAUCAGGUACAAACAAAUAAGGUUCCUUUUGUUAUAGGAAUUUACUUUGGAAAUCACAAACCGACAACCCUUGACUUUCUGACAGACUUUGUUAGUGACGUACGUCUUCUGGAGAGAGAUGGUUUCUGUUACCAGGGUGCCUCUGUUUCAGUCGCCCUGUCUGCAGUAGUUUGUGAUGCACCUGCACGCGCGUUUGUCAGAAGUUCAAAGGGUCACACAGGAUUUUUUUGCUGUCACAAAUGCCAUCUAAAGGGAGUAACCUAUCAGGGUAGGAUGACAUUUCCACAAUUUGAUGCACCUGCUCGACUAGACAGUGAUCAUUUGGAGGAAUUAAAUGAUGAUCAGCAUUUCACUGGAUUUAGUCCAUUCAGCCUUCUGUCCGUAGGAAUGGUCACACAGUUUCCCCAUGACUACAUGCAUGUGGUUUGCUUAGGGGUAGUGCGGAAACUGUUGUACUUCUGGAUGAAAAAACCAUUACACACUCGCAUAGGUACACCUGCUGUAAAAGAGGUGUCAACUGAACUCUUGCGCUAUCGUUCCCAUCUUCCCAUCUUCCAAGCGAGUUCAACCGUAAGCCCCGACCUCUGUCCGAAUUUGAGAGAUGGAAAGCUACUGAGUUUCGCUCAUUCCUACUAUAUACUGGGCCAGCAUGCUUAAAGGGUAGAGUGCCGACACCAAUUUAUGACAACUUUAUGUUGCUGUCUGUGGCCAUGACCAUCUUACUUAGUGUCACCUUAGUGGGAGAUAAGGCAGACUAUGCCCACACCCUACUCUUGGCAUUUGUAAAGCACUGCAGCGAAGUCUAUGGUAGGGAGUACGUUGGGUACAACAUGCAUGCAUUAGUUCACCUUAGUGCACAAACAGAGAAGUAUGGAGUGUUAGACAACGUAUCAUGCUUCCCAUUUGAGAACUUCCUUGGGCAACUAAAACACAUGAUCAGAAAGCCAAACAAGCCCCUAGAACAGGUCAUCCGCCGCUUGUCUGAGAGGAGCUUUAAGUCCAGCGAGUGUGUUACUAGUGUGACGUCCAGUCUAUCCAUCGAGCAUUUCAGUGGCCCUGUACCACCUCACAUUAGUGCAAUCAAGCAGUUCAAAAAAAUGACUGUUCAGGGGGCCGUCAUCCAGGUUUCAGCCAGUGACCGUUGUGUGGAGCUAGCUGGGGGAAGGAUAGUGGUAAUUGACAACAUCGUAGUUGACAACAAGGCAGACGUCCACAUAGUGUUUAGGCCAUUCACAAAGCUCUGCAACCUCUUCCACUAUCCCCUUGAAUCCUCUGAAGUUGGCAUCUAUCAUCUAUCUGCCCUGACACCCCAACUGCACCACACUCUAGCUGCCCACAUAAAGAGGAAAUAUGUCCUGCUUCCAGUUAAGGAUGGUUUUGCUGGGCUACCAAUGGUACACCAGUAGGACUGCUGUUUUUGUAUGUUUGCGUAAGUGUCACAGUUUUGUUCAGUUUUAACAGCUGAUAUGUUGUAUCUGCCCAUAUCCUAAAUCUGAUGAAUGGAUUGAAUGUUUUAGAAAUUAUAGUAGAUCAUUUUGUAUUCACAAGUGUCCCAACUCAUGUGGAAUUGCUGUAGCAAUUGUUAUUAUAUUAUUAUAUAGGUAUUGAGCAUUAACAUGUCACUAUUUCUCCCUUCAACAGACAUACAAGAUACAUCAUACAAGAAAAUAUAUUUUUAUUUAUUUUAUUUUAUUUUAUUUAUUUGUAUUUAUUAAGAAAUGUAUUUAGUUGUGUCCUUCCCCGAGGAGGGGUUCAUUUUUACUGUUCCCAACACAUGGAUUGCUUCCAAUAAUAAAUGCUACUGGCCACCUUACACAUCCAAAGAAAAAGUCAAGAAGGCUGCCUUAGCAAAUGAAUCCCCUGACCCCCAGACAUGGACCUUGUAUCCAGUGGUCAUACUUAAAGUUAAAGAAACGUAUAAAAAGGCCCAUAAUUUUUAUAUGAAGGCAAAAAAAGGAGAGUCAUUGGAUACCACCGAUGAUGAUGUGAAAAGAAAAAGAAAGCCAAAUAUGAAAUUUUCCCUGCCCGACUACUCCAGUGAAGACGAUGACAAUCGGAAUCUCCCCCCGCCUCCAAAAAUCCCAAGAGCACCAGCAAAAAAAAAAACUAUUCCAAAUUCAGGUUAGUGAUCUCUCUGAAAACAAAUUCCAUUUUCUUUAUAUUUAU
Long non-coding RNA from Gadus chalcogrammus (walleye pollock), 2709 nucleotides. RefSeq lists it as uncharacterized. The transcript has 3 exons. The record is from RefSeq and is a predicted model, not a curated record. Lineage: Eukaryota; Metazoa; Chordata; Actinopteri; Gadiformes; Gadidae.